This 574-nucleotide long non-coding RNA is filed under the name Mustela putorius furo (domestic ferret). RNAcentral describes it as "lncRNA (ENSMPUG00000026422.1)". Lineage: Eukaryota; Metazoa; Chordata; Mammalia; Carnivora; Mustelidae. The record is from RNAcentral.
UAGAACCGAGUCUUGGCAGAUUUUCAUCAACUUGAAGGAAAAGGUCAGGGGGCAGAGGCAGAUCAGGGAACCCAGGAGGUGAUCUCCCAAAGGCAGCCCAUCAUAUGUGACUGGCACCGAUCUCUGUCUCACGGGCCUCCAGCCCACACAGCACACGUGUGUGUAAGCAAGCAACGCUGCAUCUCGCCAGCAGGCACGUGCAGGUGCGGGGUGAGCCUCUCCUACCUCCCCCAGGACCCUCGUGCACAGUCAUUUAGGAACCAUCUAGAGCUGGUCCCUCUGCCGGUCCAGGCCGGCUCCUGGGGAAGUGAGACGAUGCUGGAGAUCUGGUGUGGAGCCUGGGGCCCGAGGUGGAGGUGGCUUCCUCCCCGCACUAUCCUGGAGCAGUGCUCAGGAGGUAUGCAGGUAUGUGGAGAGGGGGUACAGGGGGUACAUGAUGGGACUUAAGAAUGGGCACCAGGGGACUGGGGCUCCUUGGGGUCCCCCUAGGCCCUGCAUCCCCUCCUGAUAGCUGCAGGCAGCUCAGUGAAGCCUCACUCACCCCUCCCCUGACCUCUCUAGCCUAGAAGGGAUU